GCUGCACGUAGUAAAUCUGCAACAGGGGGGAGCUCAGCCGUCUCAUUCAUCCUGCACCAAGCAGAGGGCUAAAACAAUUGCCACGCUUAAGACAAAUGUCAGUGUGAGUCAUACCAGCCGGAGCGCAAACAUGUUUGCUGUCGGGACAAACCCCUCACCAGCAGUAGCACAAAACGUGGAGAAGCAGUCUUGGCAUGCUACCAACCCAGUGAAAAAUCCGCCACCUAGCUAAAUCAGGUAUGGUCUGUUUCUGAAAGGUAUUAUUUAAGGAGCAUUCAGGGUAUGUUUGGAAGCACUUCCACUCUCUCACUCUCCUACAAGACAAAUCUUCAUGUCAUUAACCUUUAUUUGCCUUUUAAACAGUAAAAUGUAAGUCUGUUAAACCACAGAGUUCCAAUUUGAUAUUUUGAUCAUCUCCAUCUGCUUAAUGGGAAACGUGCAGUGGUAAGAGAGAAAAAAAAUAGGUAUGACUGGAAUAAGUUAGCGCUGUUUUCCUUUUCGUCCAAUGCUUGCUGCCAAACAUGCUUGCUGCUGGUCACUUGCCUCACUCACUGCCAGCAAGUGCUCAGCUGGGCACGUCACCAAUAUUUAACCCUCAAUAAAAUUAAAUCACAGUAAUGCUUUGCACUCAUUUAGGGUUUUACAUACCGCAAACACUGUGAAAAAAUUAACUGCACACUCUGUAACACACCUGCAAGCUAAAUUGAGUAUUGUUAUUCAUACCUUAUGCAAAAGAGAAUUUCACUGGAGAUGGGAUAAUUGACCUGCCCAAAGCUAUGCAACACAGGUGCUCCUGUUUCCUGGUUCUCUCUCUGCCAACAGACCUUUUCUGAAAUUCAGAGUGAGUUCUGUCUUCAUUUCUGCAUCUUUCCGCUGCUGAGGGAAAGCAGGGAACAGGUUUCUGUACCCAGUGGUAUGAGUGGUACAGGGCUGCUGUGAGAGCGAUUCCUAGCUGCAUUGCCUGUGGUGGACCAGAAUCAACAGGACUGCAGCAGUGCUGUUUCUACCUCCCCAUGGUAAGCGAGGAUUAGCUGCAGAAAAUUAUUUUAUCUAUAUUUGGUCUACAAUGAUUUACUAAUAAUUUGGUAAAAGGAACAUUAAAGGCCUUUUUCACAAAAGACUACCAAGUUUUAGCUUAUCUGGAUGUCUUCUAGUACUGCAAGGAGGACAGUAGAGGACUCAGCAGUGCACCACACACUGCUCCUCAGACUGCCUCUCUCUUCCCCUCAACAGUAAAAAAGGGUAGGACCUGAACCGAGGUAAAAAUCCUCACAUGUCACAGGCUGGACAACAGAUUAAUGUAGGCAGAGAUCCUGUUACAACACCAGCUGUUCCUCCUGCACCAUGACCAACAGCCACAGUGCAGGUGAGACCCAAUCACGCUCACUGCAUUAGAAAUCAAAGGCUUUUUCC
Molecule: long non-coding RNA, 1413 nt
Filed under: Camarhynchus parvulus
Lineage: Eukaryota; Metazoa; Chordata; Aves; Passeriformes; Thraupidae
Description: lncRNA (ENSCPVG00000017298.1)
Source: RNAcentral